GGGGACACGGAGCAGAGAAAUAGGGGUGCUGUUAUAGCUUGUUUCUAAGGCAAGACAGGUGCUGUUAUAGCUUGUUUCUAAGGCAAGGGGCAGAUCUGGUGGAGAAGAAGAUGGUGCUGUAGAAGAGAGUCAUUGAGGAGCCGAGCCACGGGCAGGGGAGAGGGGUGUUUGCAAAUGGGGGGCUUGUCCUUGGGAGCAGAGACAGGUCAUCCUCUGUGACGGCUGGGCAGUAAGCACGGCUGAGUGUAGAUGCAAGUGAAUCUGUAAACUGGAUAAGGAGGACUUCUUGUCUUGUUGUUGCUGUUGUGUGAGGAAGACUGGCCCUGAGCUAACAUCUGUGCCCAUCUUCCUCUAUUUUGUUUGUGGGACGCCACCACAGUGUGGCUGAUGAGUGGUGUGUAGGUCCAUGCCAGGGAUCCGAACCUGCAAACCCCAGGCCACUGAAGCAGAGCACAAGAACUUAACCACUCCGCCACUGGGCCGGCCCCAGAGGACUUCUCGUUGAUAACGAGGACUUUCAAAUAAGAAGUGAGGACAACAGUCGAGACUGAAGAAUGGAGAAAGAGUGGGAAGCCCUUUUGAUGGAGUGAAGUGACUGAGGAAGUGAGUGAGCGUAACCAAGCCUGGCACAAAGACAUCAGAAAGAUGUUCCUAAGAAGAAAAGGAGAGAACACCUGAGAAAGAAGGAAAAUACCAUGUGACACUGAAACUGAGAUAAGCACGUGAGGGAAGCGGGCCCUGGAGAUUUUAGUUUGUUGCUCUCUCCUUCUCUUCUCUCUGCAGCUGGGUAAGGCAUCCUAGAAGUCAGCUGGCAUCAGCUUAGGAUGAGCAGGGGGUGCAGCUGGUAACACUCGGGGCAGACAAUUGGGGCAGUGACCGUGAAGAGGGUAGAAGGGGCUCCAUUGCCCAGGAAAACAACGUAGUCAGAACUUCCAACCAACAGGACGUGGGAGACGGAGAGGGCAGGGGCCAGCGGCCAUCCACCACCAGAUACACAGGUGUUCGUCCUGCCUCAACGCCAGUGUCCCAGAAAGACCCAGCAACUCUGGAGCCCAUGUGGACUCAGGCAGUUCCUAACACGCCGGCCCGGACUUUCCGUCUCUACUUUGUGACUCACUCCCCUGUCCCCACUCUUACCCCCCUGGGCUUGCACCCCCUACUACAGACGGGGACUUAGACUUCCAGUUGUAUUUUCCAGGCAACCUGGGGCUGAGACAGAAGCUGAGUCAAGAAAGUCCCUUUGGGCAUCAUCCCCCGCUGUCCUCGCCGACCCCCAGGACCUGUCCUGAAGCUCCGAUGAGGACCCACAGCGUCCGCCUGCGCAAGGAGACGCACGAUGCCCUUCUGUCUCCUGCCACGAUGCCUCCAGAGUCU
RNAcentral lists this long non-coding RNA (1374 nucleotides) under Equus caballus (horse). Its description in RNAcentral is "lncRNA (ENSECAG00000052393.1)". Lineage: Eukaryota; Metazoa; Chordata; Mammalia; Perissodactyla; Equidae. The record is from RNAcentral.